RNAcentral lists this ribosomal RNA (404 nucleotides) under bacterium. RNAcentral's name for it is "partial 16S ribosomal RNA". It matches the Rfam family "Bacterial small subunit ribosomal RNA", at positions 355 to 776 of the family's 1533-position model. The record is from RNAcentral. RNAcentral also lists the same sequence under 6 other names.
UAGGGAAUCUUGCGCAAUGGGCGAAAGCCUGACGCAGCCAUGCCGCGUGAAUGAUGAAGGUCUUAGGAUUGUAAAAUUCUUUCACCGGGGACGAUAAUGACGGUACCCGGAGAAGAAGCCCCGGCUAACUUCGUGCCAGCAGCCGCGGUAAUACGAAGGGGGCUAGCGUUGCUCGGAAUUACUGGGCGUAAAGGGAGCGUAGGCGGAUAGUUUAGUCAGAGGUGAAAGCCCAGGGCUCAACCUUGGAAUUGCCUUUGAUACUGGCUAUCUUGAGUAUGGAAGAGGUAUGUGGAACUCCGAGUGUAGAGGUGAAAUUCGUAGAUAUUCGGAAGAACACCAGUGGCGAAGGCGACAUACUGGUCCAUUACUGACGCUGAGGCUCGAAAGCGUGGGGAGCAAACAGG